AUCUCUCUGUCCACCGCCUCUCCUUUUCCAAGCAGAGCCCUUCCUUUGCUGACAGACAGGCGGCUGGCUUUCUCUGGGGCCGUUUGUCUGUCAGAUGGCUUAUUUCCUUGCCUCCCUCAGGCGCUAAUGGAGUUUAAUCCCUCAAGAGGCAGGUCCUGGAUUGGGUUCCCUUCGGCUGGUGGAGCUGUCUGCCGGAAGGAAGGAAGAGUCUCUCUGAGCACUAAGAUGGUCCAAAGCCUGCCCAGGUGAAGUACAUGGAGGGGAAACAGAUGUUGUUGUUUGGAUUGAAGAUGUCCCCCAAAGGCCUCGUGGACUCACAGGCAGGGCUUUUAGAAGCUCCUCUCUUCUUUCCCUGCUUCCUGGUUGUCAUGAUGUGAGCAGCUUUCCUCCAGCCAUGCUCUCUGCCAUGCCAUUUCUGCCUUGGAACCAGCUGACUGUGGACUGUAACUGUGCAUCAAAAUAAACCUCCUCAAGUGGAGGAAAACCACUGCAACCCCUGCUGACAGUCGCUAGGAGCACAAGUGAAGCCACUGUGAGUGUGCAGCCCCAGCUGAGCCUCCAGAUGACUACAACUGUGUGAGAGACCCGAGUGGACACACUGCCCAGCCAGCCUACAGACUCCUGAGAGAAAUAAUCAAUCAUGGUUGUUUUAAACCACUAAGUUUGGGAUGGUUUGUUAUGCGGCAAUAGCUGACAAAUACACCUUGCAAACAGAGUCAGCAAGAGCAUGCAAGAGAGGUGAACAUCUGCUCCCUGGAGUUGGUGACAUGUGCCUCACCCCAAAAGAUGAAUGGCUUGGAGAACUAGCUUGGGGUGGAGGAGCUGUGUAGUGUGCAUGCUGAAGGUGGUUUAGGCAGUGAAGUUCUAGAAUCCUGGUGUGGCUCCACAGCACUUAGCAUUACCCUUCAGAACUUGUGUUUCUCUGCGCAGGACUCUGGUGGCCUGUUGGAUGCAUGAGCCACGAAAGCAUUAAGAAUCUGUGGUCUCAGAGUGUUUCUAUAGCAGGGAAGAAGUAAGAGGUGAUAGUCAUGUGUCCACACUCAGAGGUGCAGGCUUGGGGGUGUGGUGGAGGCAAAGGGAAAAUGUGGUGUCCAGGAAAUCCCCCAUCUCAUUUUUUGGACUAGAGAAAUGGUCCUUCGAGCAGUCAAGCCAAUAGAAGGGACUGGGCCCUGUGACGUUUUCAAAGCCACCUAAAGCAUAGUUUUGCCUUUUUGUGUGUGAAAUAUAAAAGAAUGAAUGAACAAGACCUCAUGAAUUGGGUUGGGGAGGAUGGAGAGGAGGACUUAGGGAAUGAAAAAAAAAGUUCCAAUCAUUAAGUCUACCAGCUAAUAAGAUUAAUUUCCAAGGCUUAUAGAGUGUCUACUGUAUGCCAAGCAGUGUGCUAAGUGCUUGGCAUGCCUUGUCCCAUUCACUCCUUAUGACAUUUCCAAGGAUCAUGGUACUGUGACCCCCCCCCCAUGAUAGACAUAAGUCAACUCAUGUUCUAGGCAGAUGCUGCCUGCUGCUCAAAGCUCAGCCAGGUUGGCAACAUCCCCUGUAACAGCGUGUGACCAGCACUGUCUUGGUGAUAGGGGUGUAAUCAAAGGUGCUUGGAGAGCAAGGUGAGCUUCCCCACUUAAAUGCCUUCAGUAGGCUGCGAUGAGCCAAAGGUGCAAGUGCAGUGUGGUACGGCCAGUGUGCUGAGAUGCGUCACCUCUGGCCAGUCUCCAGCACCGCUCCCCAGCCCCACAACACUGUUGGCGUUGGCUUGGGAGGUGGGCAGCAUGGAGGAGAGCAGAAUGCAGCCAUGAGAGGGGGCAGGGAGAGGAAGGACUGACACUCUCGGGUUUCAGGAAAGCACAAAGCCAAAGGAGGCAGAGAUUACCUGUUUGUGCAAUCUGGCCUCAGGCUAUCAGCAAUCCCAACCUGCCUCCAGCCCCCAACCCCCCUCCCCGUGGGCUGAGCAGUGCUGGAGCUUGGGAGAAGCAGCCUUGGGGACAAUCGGGGUCUGGGAAGUGGCAGAGCCUGGGCACAGGCAGGACUGCUGGAGAGCUACAAUCCACGCUUUAUUUGAGGGAAACUGAGGCUCAACUGCCUAUCCCAUGGUUGCUUAGAGAAAAGGGCAGGAUUUCAAAACUGGUGGCAAAGAAGAGCAGGCCAAACAGCAAUCAGGUGUGGCUUCAGUCCCCUCUUUCCCAUAAUCAGCAUUUUUUUUUUUUUUUUUGCCUGUCUUUCCCCUCCCUUCUGCAUCUAAGCCUUCAGUUUCCAUAGUGGAUGCAUCUUGGAGCAGGCAGGAAAUGCCUCACCAUCUCUCUGGAAAUAGAUGUUCUUUGAAUCAGCCUCAUCAGUAUGAUGAAGAAAUAGAGAGCAGAUCUAAUCUAUUGGCGCAUUUUUCUAAUUACCAGAUUGAUUUACCAGAGAAAUCUCCCCAGGAAUUUGACUUCUCGGCAAGGUCUUUGCAAGCUCUAAAUUUGUUCUCUGAAAAAAGCCCCACAAAAUCCUGACAGAUUUGGGGGGAACUGGGUCCCUCUAAUCAGGGCACAGAGCUUAUUUGUUUUCUAAUGGAAUCUGAAUAGAAUUGAAUGCACAGCCACUCUGUGUGGAGCACAUUCAUAUUUUUAAUUAACAAAUUAGGAGCUAUUUUGUUCCCCCUUUGAACACCAGUCAUGUGGGCCUGGUUCCUUUUCGGCCAAUUUAGUCAACUUGGAUGAUUUUAAUUACAACAGUCACGAGCACCAGAAAUUCCUGCGUCUGACAGAUUCGCGACCUGGUCCAUUGACUCUCAUUUAAAAGCAAGUUCUCCAUGAACAGAGAUCUCCGAGGGCGCCAGUGGGCGUCAGGAGAGGGGGCCCGGCAUGGUGCCUUUGGGCACGGGGAGCCUCGUUUUCCACGUGGAGUCCUGAUUACAAGGUGGUCAGCUGUCCCGGCCGGGCCUUCCCAUUUUUAAGAAGCAGCAGCCCUCCACGGAAGUGCUUCUGAAGCUCCGGAGGAAGCACUUUGAAGCGCCUGGACAGGGAGGAAUUGCGCUCCUGGCUUCUUUCCUUGGAAGCUUGGCCUCACUCCCACGCUUCUCAAACUUCAACAGACCCAGGAACCCCCUGGGGAAUGUUGUUAACAGGUAGACCUUGAUUUAGUUGGCGUGGGGGUGAGGCCCGAGAUUCUGCAUUUUCGAUGAGCUGGCCACUGCUGCUGAUCGUCGGACCACACUUUGAGUAGCAAGGCUUUGGCUGAUUUCUCUAUUUCUGGUGGAUUGCAGAACCUCAAAGGGAGCCAGAGGCCUGAAAGACACUCACAUAAAGCACAGGCGUGGUGAUCAGGUUUGAGAGUUGGAAGGCAAGUGGGAGGGAAAAUCUUGCUUCAGUUACAGCAUCUCCCUGGGGUGCUGAGCAGGAGAGACCCCACCCCUGACAAGCCUGAUCCUUCCUCAACCAUGCUCCCUAUGCACAGUGCAUCGCCUUGCCUUCCAUUACAGGACGGCCAGCCCCGUGUGCAAAGGGCUGUGAAGUGGUCUCAUUGAGCCAGGUGUCUGGGUGAGGUCCCAGACUUUGAGGGCUGGUGGAGCCAGCAAACCACCCCGGAGGCAGAGUCCAUCCUGGAAACAGAUCUGUCCUCCAGCCUUCCCUGUGCCAGCAGAAUGGAUGCUGAAUUAGCAAAGCUGAGAGAACAGGGAAUGGGGAACACAAUGUUCCCUGAGAGGUUGCAAUCAAAGGGGUCCCAGCCCCCCACCCCCUGCUGAGAAUUCUGUGAAUUUAUGAUGUGUCGACAGUUUGAGCCCUAGCACAUAGCAGUCUGAUGGGCUACAAUUAGGAGAGCGUGUUAAGCCCCUCCCUAGUCCUCCAUCGUGUAUUCAUGGAAUUUAUGUGGUCUCAGCAAAGUGAGCGAUGUGCACAUUUGGGGCAGGAAUUUUAGAACUAUGAUGUCAUUAUCCCAGGAGAGGUGGCCAGGAGAGGAGAGAAGAAUAACAGUAGGGAUAAAGUAAAAAAUCCCAAGCUGACUUGGGUCUGGAUUCAAAACAAACUAUGUGUCAUAAUUAUUUUUAUGACAUUUUUGAGGCCAUUGGAAAUUUGGAGCCCUAGGUAUUUGAUGACAUCAAGGAAUUUUUGUUAAUUUGGGGGUGCCAGAAUGGGAUUAUGGUUAUGCUAAACUGACAGUCCUUACCUUUAGUGAUGCAUACUGAAAUAUUUAUGGAGGAAAUGAUCUGAUGUGUGGGAUUUGCUUUAAAAUGAUACAGAAAUAGGAGAACUAGAUGAGGAUAUGAAAGAUUGAUCACGCACUGACCAUUGUCAGAGUUGUGCGGUGGGUGCAUGGGAGUUUAUUAUGUAGUUCUAUUUUUGUAUGUGUUUCAAAUGCUCCAUAUUAAUAGGUUAAAAAACUCCUAGUGCACAUCAUUCAUUUUGCUGAUAACACAUAAAUUCCCUGAAUACAUGAUGGAGAGGAGAAGGGGAGGGAAAAGAAGGGAAAGCAAGAGGAGGGGAGAUUCAACAUUAUGGAAAGGAUAUUGCCUUAUGGCUUGGGUAUGGUCUGAGUGUGUCCCCCAAGGGUUCAUGCACUGGGAGCUGUUCCUCAGUGUGGGGAUGUGGGAGAUUCUGGAACUUUAAAAAGGGGCCUGGUGGAACGUAAUUAGGCCAUUGAGGGUGCUGUCUUUGGAAGAGCUCAUCUGGCCCUUGCCUCUUUCCAGCUUCCUGUCUCACUAUGUGCUGUCUUCUCCAGUGUACCCUGCCAUCCACCAUGAUGUGACCUACCCACGGGGACCUCCUCAGAGCUAAGCAGGUGUCGGUGCCUGUGCUAUUGGACCUCCAGGCCUGGAAGCUAAAGAGACUUCUUUUCUUUAUAACUUCCCAGCCUCAGAUAUUUUGCUGUAGCAAUGAAAAAGGGACUGAUGCAUUGUCUCCUUUUCUCCUACACUCUGGGCUCAGAAAGAGGAGAAAAAGUGAUCAGAACAUGAUGAGCCAAUCCAACAUACCUUGGCAGUGCUCUGUAAAGCAAAAGACUUCACUUUUGAAGAGUGUGUGGGAGCUUAGUUUUUUACUCUGUCUGGGGAGAAAACCUUAGCCUAUUUUGGAAUAUAUUUCCAUAGCUUUAAUUUAUUUCAUUCAUCUGUCUCUGUGGUUAUCUGUCUAGCUUUUCAGGUAAGUAGGACCUUGGGGAUGAGGUUAUUGGUUUGUUUGACCCUUGUCCUCACCCAGAGAUUCUAGACUAGCUGCACCAAGCAGAUCAAGAGCAUGAUCUGAGGUUCUGAGUUGUGAAGGAGAAUGUCAUAGCCAUGUCCAUCAGAGCCGAAGCUAACCAAGGUGGCAGUGACUAUUUAGCCUUGAACUGAGUUGUCCAGGGAAUGGUGAGGACAAGGAAAAUCAUAUGACUAGGUAGGGUAGGAAGAGGUACAGACAUGUGUUUCAGUAAUUUCUGCUCACAAUCACCAGUUUCUAACAAUGGCUUAGGUAUCAGAAAUCAACCUGGCUACCAUUAAUUAUAACAGUUAAACUUUAUUGAGCAUUUACUAUGAAUCCAGCUCCGUGUUAUCACUUUAUAUGAUGAGUGCCUCUGAUGGAGGUGUCAAUAUCAUUCCCAUUUUCAGAUGAGAAAAUUGUGGCCUACAGAAUUUAAGCAAUUUGCCCAAUUUUGCACCCUAGGCACCUCAUGCACUUCACCGUAGCCCCAGCCCUGAUCAGGGUUCAAGCCCAGUUCUGUACCAUGUCUGCAUCUGCACUCCUGAAUGAGCACCCAGGGACUUUUCUCCUUUAGAAGGGGAUUGCUUGAAUAAGGUGGGUGGGGGUUAUGAUUCAGGGAGCAAGAACUCUAGCCUGGAAUUGGUGGGAUAAAGCAGAAGGAGAAAAUAAUUGAUAAUCCCUUUGUGUCAUCCUUGAACUUUGCAUGUUAGGAUUACGGACUUUAUUGUAGGGUCUGCUCUCCUGUGCAGUAGCACUUCACCCAUCCCAGGAGACUGAGUAGUGGAGAUGAUCGGUUUCCCCACCUGCGCCUGUCGAGCCCCAAAUCUGUGCACUCGAACACUAGAGACUUUCACCUCAAAUUUCCCUUUGUCAGUUUCAUUUGCACCAAUGAUUGGUCUUGGUUGUGGGAACUUUACCUGAUGUUUGUACCUAUUUUAAAAUUAGAUAAAGACCUUUGCUCAGGCCUUUUGUCCUAUAUACUGCUGAUGGGAGGGUAAAUUGGGCUAAUGCCCUUACACAGCUGCUUAGUAAUACCUGUUAAGUCUAACCCUAAGUUAUCCCACAAACCAACAGCUGC
This is a long non-coding RNA of Heterocephalus glaber (naked mole-rat), 6225 nucleotides long. RefSeq lists it as uncharacterized. NCBI's taxonomy places the organism in Eukaryota, Metazoa, Chordata, Mammalia, Rodentia, Bathyergidae. The record is from RefSeq and is a predicted model, not a curated record.